RNAcentral lists this ribosomal RNA (253 nucleotides) under uncultured bacterium. RNAcentral describes it as "partial 16S ribosomal RNA". It matches the Rfam family "Bacterial small subunit ribosomal RNA", at positions 524 to 776 of the family's 1533-position model. The record is from RNAcentral.
UACGAAGGGGGCUAGCGUUGUUCGGAAUUACUGGGCGUAAAGCGUGCGCAGGCGGUUAUGCAAGACAGAUGUGAAAUCCCCGGGCUCAACCUGGGAACUGCAUUUGUGACUGCAUGGCUAGAGUGCGGCAGAGGGGGAUGGAAUUCCGCGUGUAGCAGUGAAAUGCGUAGAUAUGCGGAGGAACACCGAUGGCGAAGGCAACCCCCUGGGCCUGCACUGACGCUCAUGCACGAAAGCGUGGGGAGCAAACAGG